GGACGAACGCUGGCGGCGUGCUUAACACAUGCAAGUCGAGCGGUAAGGCCCUUUCGGGGGUACACGAGCGGCGAACGGGUGAGUAACACGUGGGUGACCUGCCCUCAGCUCUGGGAUAAGCCCGGGAAACUGGGUCUAAUACUGGAUAUGACUCCACGGUGCAUGCCGUGGGGUGGAAAGCCUUGUGCGGCUGAGGAUGGGCCCGCGGCCUAUCAGCUUGUUGGUGGGGUNAUGGCCUACCAAGGCGACGACGGGUAGCCGGCCUGAGAGGGCGACCGGCCACACUGGGACUGAGACACGGCCCAGACUCCUACGGGAGGCAGCAGUGGGGAAUCUUGCGCAAUGGGCGAAAGCCUGACGCAGCGACGCCGCGU
Molecule: ribosomal RNA, 374 nt
Filed under: uncultured bacterium
Lineage: Bacteria
Description: bacterial SSU rRNA
Rfam family: Bacterial small subunit ribosomal RNA
Source: RNAcentral